GUCUAAUGUUGACGCCCAUCUGUGUCUGUGCAUUGUGUUCGUGUCCUGCUCGUCUAGCUAACCACCGAUCUUGUGUCGAGGCUCACGGUCAGAGUCUGUUUCGUGUCCGAGUGGACUUCUGAUUGCCUGUCUGGUGUCCAAAUCAUGUGACUGUUGCUGCAGAGGCUCUUCAAAAAUCACCUAUUCUUCAAACUGGAGAAGAGGGAAUUCUUCAUUAGUCGGUUUCCUGGUAACAGUGGCCAAAUUGUUAAAGUAGUUGCCAUCGGGAGCAACCCUUGAUCAAGUCCUUGACCGGCAGAAGAAUGUUGGCAAAAAAACAUCAGGUUCACAAAGUGCGGAUGCAGUAAUGUACACUCAAAAUCCUCUGGACUCACGGCAGUGGUGUCCUUGAGCAAGACGUAGAUACCCUGAACUUGUCCAGUCUGACUCUUGUAACAGGUCAAAUGCAGAAGACACAUUUUGUGAAAAUGCAUGUGUCGAAUAGCUCAAAUUUGAUCUUGUCAAGAUUCAAGUAGUUACUGAUGGGCCCACUCUUAAGGACCUUCUGUAAUUCCUUUCCAACUAUACGGAAAAAACUGUUUGCCUAAGAUCUGCAAGAAAUCUGUAAAGUACUUUGUGAGCUUGUUUUUUUUCCUAUCUCCAGUACCCUCGUUGAUGAGCUCCAGUACCCGACCAGACAGCUUUGCUUCAAACCUCUCAACCCACACGUUGCCUCUGGAACAACUUUCCAUGCUUCUCUGUCACCGCCACCUUCAAUAAAUCCAUGUUCUUCCUGUUUUAAA
Long non-coding RNA from Syngnathus typhle (broad-nosed pipefish), 782 nucleotides. RefSeq lists it as uncharacterized. The transcript is spliced from 2 exons. The record is from RefSeq and is a predicted model, not a curated record. Lineage: Eukaryota; Metazoa; Chordata; Actinopteri; Syngnathiformes; Syngnathidae.